This 1760-nucleotide long non-coding RNA is filed under the name Pan troglodytes (chimpanzee). RNAcentral describes it as "long non-coding RNA NONPTRT007841". Lineage: Eukaryota; Metazoa; Chordata; Mammalia; Primates; Hominidae. The record is from RNAcentral.
CUGUAGCUCCAGGUGUUCAGCAAGAGGCAUGGCACUGUGAAGUCACCAUAGUGUUUACAGAGAAGCACAAUAGGGGGCACCCUCCAUAAAUCUGGUUGAGGGAAAAGCAUUACAAGUUGGAUAAAAUAAGAAUACAAGAAACAGUAUUUGUAGAGUGUAUAUGACUGUGUGUCAAGUGAAGGGAAGACAGAAGAAAUGCUGUAAGUUACUAAGAGGGAGAAAUGACUAAGGACUGCAGUUGUCAUGGCAGGCUUCCUGGAGGUGGUGGAUGUGGGCUGAUGUCCGAAGAAAGUUACCAUUUACUGAGAUCUCACAGUGAGCCAGGCCCUGUUCUAAAUAUUAAUGUGGAUAUUUUGUUUAAGUCUCAUCAUUUUUCAAGGUGUAGUGAUUUGGAGAGGGGACAGGCUCAGCGUCAGUAUUUCUGCUGCAUUCCUCUGUAAACAUCUCAUGAAGUGGCUGAUUUGUGAGAAGAGGAUCAUCUACCUCCUGCAUUCCAUCUCAUGAAGUGGCUGAUUUGUGAGAAGAGGAUCAUCUACCUCCUGCAUUCAAUCUCAUGAGUAGUUGGGAAGAACAGAUGAAGUGAGGCUGUGAAGCACUGUUGCAAUCUAAGGCACUGCUCAGACAUUGGUUGAGGCUCUAACCCAUGGUCUCCCUGGAGUGGUGACUCCUGUGGUCUCCGGGGACCUUUCUCCUUCUGUGUGUGCAGCUCCAUCCAGGGUAUUUGAAGGUAGAACAUUCUUUAGGAUACAGAAUAAUGAAGCCUCAGGGUUCAUUUCAGAUUUCCUAGCAGGCUGGAUAGGGGGUGUUGUUCUUGGGAAGUUCCUCCUGGCGUCUCUGAAAUCAUUCAGAAAAAGGUUGUCCAGGUGCCUCUAGAGGGUGUUCUUGGCUGAUGUUUGUCCUGUGUUCCUCUGACUGCUAGGCUUAAGCGUCUUCAACUCAGAGUUCAAUUCCUCACAUGCUGGAAGGCAGGACAGCGAGCACUCUGGGAGGUCCACCAAGCACUUUGUGCUCCAUUCCCUGCACUGUCUGCUCAGGAAACCUCCUCACGCAACCAUCUGAGGCCUGGUCCUUAAAGUGGAACCUGUCACGCUGGAGCUGAGUGUUGCCUCGGUCCACACAGCAUCUUGGAGACAUUUAUGGUUUCUGCUCUGAGUGUCUCUUGAUGGAAUUGUUAGUGGCUGCUGCAAUGCAGAUAAUAUGGAAAACUAUUGUGGUAACUGUGGCUGUUGGCAUGGUGGCUUUCCACCUGGGAUCCCUGGAGUCUUGGCGCCUGGCAGGGGCAGCCCUGGGAGGAGGAGGAGGAGGAGACUGAGCUGGUGAGGACCUGAGCUGUUGAUCCCUUCUCUCCCACCCUCUAUGUGCCCUUAAUCCAAAGCAGUUUUUAACCUCCCCGCCUUUUGUAAAUGAUAAAGUUUUGGAUAAGAUGUUAUUUAAAGAAAGAUUUUGAUGCCAAGACAUGUUGAAAGUCCCUGCAGUGGGGAAGUCAGGAAAAGUUGGUAUGAUGCUGGGUUAUUAACCUUCUUUGGUGCAAGACCUUUUUUUGAGAUGUGAUGAAACUGUUUCUCCAAAAAAAGCUCAUACCCCACAAUAUUGCGUCAGGAUUGCUGAGGCCAUCUGUGCAUGUGGCCCACAGCCCUGGUUAGGGAUCCCUUGUCAAUUGGGAAGAUUAUGGGUUGUGGAUACAGGCAGAUAGAGAUUUAACCCUGCCUCAGACUUCACUCACUUUUUAACCUCAGGGUAUCUUAGUAAACGUCUUUACA